RNAcentral lists this ribosomal RNA (256 nucleotides) under uncultured bacterium. Its description in RNAcentral is "partial 16S ribosomal RNA". It matches the Rfam family "Bacterial small subunit ribosomal RNA", at positions 96 to 353 of the family's 1533-position model. The record is from RNAcentral.
UGGCGGACGGGUGAGUAAUGUCUGGGAAACUGCCUGAUGGAGGGGGAUAACUACUGGAAACGGUAGCUAAUACCGCAUAACGUCGCAAGACCAAAGAGGGGGACCUUCGGGCCUCUUGCCAUCGGAUGUGCCCAGAUGGGAUUAGCUAGUAGGUGGGGUAACGGCGCACCUAGGCGACGAUCCCUAGCUGGUCUGAGAGGAUGACCAGCCACACUGGAACUGAGACACGGUCCAGACUCCUACGGGAGGCAGCAUG